RNAcentral lists this ribosomal RNA (492 nucleotides) under uncultured bacterium. Its description in RNAcentral is "partial 16S ribosomal RNA". It matches the Rfam family "Bacterial small subunit ribosomal RNA", at positions 30 to 507 of the family's 1533-position model. The record is from RNAcentral.
AGUGAACGCUGGCGGUAGGCCUAACACAUGCAAGUCGAACGGCAGCACAGUAAGAGCUUGCUCUUACGGGUGGCGAGUGGCGGACGGGUGAGGAAUACAUCGGAAUCUACUUUUUCGUGGGGGUUAACGUAGGGAAACUUACGCUAAUACCGCAUACGACCUACGGGUGAAAGCAGGGGAUCUUCGGACCGUGUGCGAUUGAAUGAGCCGAUGCCGGAUUAGCUAGUUGGCGGGGUAAAGGCCCACCAAGGGGACGAUCCGUAGCUGGUGUGAGAGGAGGAUAAGCCGCAUGAGAGGGGGGACACGGACCAGAGGCCUGCGGGAGGGAGCAGUGGGGAAUAGUGGACAAUAGGGGCAAGCAUGGUCCAGCCAUCCCAAGUGGGAGGAGGAGGCGUUGGGGUUGUGAUGACCUUUUGUUGGGAGAAAAAAGCAGCAGGUUAAUACCCCGCUGUUCUGACGGUACCCAAAAAAUAAGCACCGGCUAACUUCGUG